AGUGUAUGCUGCUUCUUUCCCCUUUUAUCCAUGGAGAAAGAAGUGACUAAAUGCAUCUAACCUUUUUCAUGAUCACUAAAUUUGUGUGAUCUAUUUUAUGUGCAGAUGUAGUCCAGCAGUUGAUGGAGCUCUUUUAGAACACAAGAUGACCACUCACGGUGAUUUGUAAGAAUUUGGAAAGGAACAAGUAGGGUUGAUAAGAUCAUAUCAAUCAAUGAUGUCUUUUUCAUUUACUGCAAAAAGUUGGAUAACAGGUGUGCAAUUGAAAUGGUAUAGUAGUGUGCACUGGCAACAGAAGCCCUGUUCCUUGAAUGAAUCUAUUCCAUAUUCACACCAACAGGAUCAGGAACUCAAUCUUACUUGAUGAGCACCAACGGGGUUGCUAGCCUAGUGGAAGGAAGUCCUUGCCCUCAUUGCUCGAGUCGGCUGGUUGUGGGUUUGAGUCGACAUGUCCCACCAUCGCUAGUUGGUCCUGUGGAAGUGUUGCUUACCGUAUGGAGGCUUUGGCUUGGGGCUAUGAUCAUUAGCACGGAAUACCCUUUUCUUCCUUACCAACCCCCCCCCCCCCCCCCC
This is a long non-coding RNA of Macadamia integrifolia, 573 nucleotides long. RefSeq lists it as uncharacterized. Lineage: Eukaryota; Viridiplantae; Streptophyta; Magnoliopsida; Proteales; Proteaceae. The transcript is spliced from 2 exons. The record is from RefSeq and is a predicted model, not a curated record.